Molecule: ribosomal RNA, 352 nt
Filed under: uncultured soil bacterium
Lineage: Bacteria
Description: bacterial SSU rRNA
Rfam family: Bacterial small subunit ribosomal RNA
Source: RNAcentral
AGAUUGAACGCUGGCGGCAUGCUUUACACAUGCAAGUCGAACGGCAGCACGGGGGCAACCCUGGUGGCGAGUGGCGAACGGGUGAGUAAUAUAUCGGAACGUACCCGGAAAUGGGGGAUAACGUAGCGAAAGUUACGCUAAUACCGCAUAUGCCCUGAGGGGGAAAGCGGGGGAUUCGUAAGAGCCUCGCGUUUUCGGAGCGGCCGAUAUCGGAUUAGCUAGUAGGUGAGGUAAGGCUCACCUAGGCGACGAUCCGUAGCUAGGUCUGAGAGGACGACCAGCCACACUGGACUGAGACACGGUCCAGACUCCUACGGGAGGCAGCGAGUGGGGAAUUUGGACAAGUGGGGGC